UUGAUUAAUAAGGUGGUAAUUUGAUAUAAUGCUUUGGUUAUGGGUGAAAUGUGCAAAGUUUACAAAAUAAGCAAGUGGUUAUAAAAUAUUCAUUAUUGUCGGGGAAUAUUCGUUUGGUCGUGGAAUAUUCUUUUGUCGGGAAUCUCCGUACGACGGCGCAGUCAUUUGUGGGCCCCAUAACGGAAAACAGAUGGAUGAAAGAAAACGACAAAGAUUGAGUUUUAUAAAUAACGG
RNAcentral lists this long non-coding RNA (234 nucleotides) under Panax ginseng (ginseng). Its description in RNAcentral is "long non-coding RNA (PGIN_LNC001120)". Lineage: Eukaryota; Viridiplantae; Streptophyta; Magnoliopsida; Apiales; Araliaceae. The record is from RNAcentral.